Molecule: ribosomal RNA, 460 nt
Filed under: uncultured bacterium
Lineage: Bacteria
Description: partial 16S ribosomal RNA
Rfam family: Bacterial small subunit ribosomal RNA
Source: RNAcentral
CCUACGGGAGGCAGCAGUGAGGAAUAUUGGUCAAUGGGCGCGAGCCUGAACCAGCCAAGUCGCGUGAGGGCAGACGGCCCUACGGGUUGUAAACCUCUUUUGCCGGGGAGCAACGGGCGCCACGUGUGGCGCCCCUGAGAGUACCCGGAGACAAAGCCUCGGCUAACUCCUUGCCAGCAGCCGCGGUAAUACGGAGGAUGCGAGCGUUAUCCGGAUUUAUUGGGUUUCAAGGGUGCGUAGGCGGAGCGUUAAGUCAGUGGUCAAAUUGAGGGGCUCAACCCCUUCCCGCCAUUGAAACUGGCGCUCUUGAGUGGAAGAGAAGUAUGCGGAAUGCGUGGUGGAGCGGUGAAAUGCAUAGAUAGCACGCAGAACCCCGAUUGCGAAGGCAGCAUGCCGGAUUCCGACUGACGCUGAAGCACGAAAGCGUGGGGAUCGAACAGGAUUAGAUACCCUUGUAGUC